Molecule: ribosomal RNA, 545 nt
Filed under: uncultured kinetoplastid
Lineage: Eukaryota; Euglenozoa; Kinetoplastea
Description: bacterial SSU rRNA
Rfam family: Eukaryotic small subunit ribosomal RNA
Source: RNAcentral
GCUGUUAAGGGUUCGUAGUUGAAUUGAGGUCGUUCGGGUUCAUGUAGGUGAGUCCCCUUUGCUUCGUGCAAAGUGGUGGCUCCCUCGCCUGGCGAUCGUGAACAUUCAGAAACAAAUACACGGGAUUCUGCUUCCUUCCAACAUCUCUCGCGUACAAUGCACGCAGUGUGGGGGGACGCCCGUGUUUUUACUGUGACUAAAAAAGCGCGACCAAAGCAGUCAAGCGACAUGAAUUUUAAGCAUGGGAUAACAACGAAGCAGCCUACGGAUUACCGUUUCGGCUUUUGUUGGUUUUAAGAUCUGUGGGAGAUUAUGGCAUGGUAUGACAAGCGGUUCGGAGCUGGUGAAUUCCUGUUUCUCCUCGCCUUCCCGCCGUAUUCCUGUUUACGCAGGGUGCGGUCCGGUUUACCUUUGCUGGAAUGAAGGAGGGUUGUUCGGGGGAGAAAGUACUUGAGCGUGAGAGGUGAAAUUCUUGACCGCUCAAAGACUAACUACAGCGAAGGCAUUCUCCAAGGAUACCUUCAUCAAUCAGAACUAAAGUGAAA